This 433-nucleotide ribosomal RNA is filed under the name uncultured bacterium. RNAcentral's name for it is "partial 16S ribosomal RNA". It matches the Rfam family "Bacterial small subunit ribosomal RNA", at positions 29 to 507 of the family's 1533-position model. The record is from RNAcentral.
AACGAACGCUGGCGGCAUGCCUAACACAUGCAAGUCGAACGAGACCUUCGGGUCUAGUGGCGCACGGGUGCGUAACGCGGGGGAACCUGCCCUUAGGUUCGGAAUAACUCCCCGAAAGGGGUGCUAAUACCGGAUAAUGUCUUCGGACCAAAGAUUUAUCGCCUUUGGAUGGGCCUGCGUUGGAUUAGCUAGUUGGUAGGGUAAAAGCCUACCAAGGCGACGAUCCAUAGCUGGUCUGAGAGGAUGAUCAGCCACACUGGGACUGAGACACGGCCCAGACUCCUACGGGAGGCAGCAGUGGGGAAUAUUGGACAAUGGGCGAAAGCCUGAUCCAGCAAUGCCGCGUGAGUGAUGAAGGCCUUAGGGUUGUAAAGCUCUUUUACCCGGGAUGAUAAUGACAGUACCGGGAGAAUAAGCUCCGGCUAACUCCGUG